This 549-nucleotide ribosomal RNA is filed under the name fungal endophyte. RNAcentral describes it as "eukaryotic LSU rRNA". It matches the Rfam family "Eukaryotic large subunit ribosomal RNA", at positions 87 to 648 of the family's 3401-position model. The record is from RNAcentral. Lineage: Eukaryota; Fungi.
CGGGCGAAGUGAAGCGGCAACAAGCUUCCAAAUUUUUGAAAUUCUGGGCCCCCGGGCCCGAAGUUGUAAUUUGUAGAGGAUGCUUUUGGUGACGCGCUUACCGAGUCCCCUGGAAUGGGGCGCCACAGAGGGUGAGAGCCCCGUAUGGUUUGCCGCCGAGCCUCUGUAAAGCUCCUUCGACGAGUCGAGUAGUUUGGGAAUGCUGCUCUAAAUGGGAGGUAAAUUUCUUCUAAAGCUAAAUACCGGCCAGAGACCGAUAGCGCACAAGUAGAGUGAUCGAAAGAUGAAAAGCACUUUGAAAAGAGGGUUAAAUAGCACGUGAAAUUGUUGAAAGGGAAGCGCUUGUGACCAGACUCGCGCCGGGCGGAUCAUCCAGCGUUCUCGCUGGUGCACUCCGCCCGGCUCGGGCCAGCAUCGGUUUUCGCCGGGGGACAAAAGCCUCGGGAACGUGGCCCCCUUCGGGGGGUGUUAUAGCCCGUGGCAGAAUACCCCGGCGGGGACCGAGGACCGCGCUUCGGCAAGGAUGCUGGCGUAAUGGUCAUCAGCGAC